Molecule: ribosomal RNA, 446 nt
Filed under: uncultured prokaryote
Description: bacterial SSU rRNA
Rfam family: Bacterial small subunit ribosomal RNA
Source: RNAcentral
UCGAGAAUCUUCCGCAAUGGACGAAAGUCUGACGGAGCGACGCCGCGUGCGGGAUGAAGGCCCUUGGGUUGUAAACCGCUGUCAGAGGGGAUGAAAUCAUGGUUGGCUAUCCUUCCAUGUUGACAGAGCCUCAGAGGAAGCACGGGCUAAGUACGUGCCAGCAGCCGCGGUAACACGUACUGUGCGAACGUUAUUCGGAAUCACUGGGCUUAAAGGGUACGUAGGCGGUUUAUCAAGUCAGGUGUGAAAUGCCAGAGCUCAACUGUGGCACUGCGCUUGAAACUGAUAGGCUAGAGUAUUCCAGGGGUGUGCGGAACUGCCAGUGGAGCGGUGAAAUGCGUUGAUAUUGGCAGGAACACCGGAGGCGAAGGCGGCACACUGGGGGAUAACUGACGCUGAGGUACGAAAGCCAGGGUAGCGAACGGGAUUAGAUACCCCCGUAGUCC